GCUUCGGGGCAGGGUGUAAUUCCCUACCGGCAGUAUAGUCUGCGAGCGGCUUUGCCGCAUGAAUGGGUGAAAUUCCCAUACCGACAGUUAAAGUCUGGAUGGAAGAAG
Molecule: non-coding RNA, 108 nt
Filed under: human gut metagenome
Also listed under: 1 other name
Description: FMN riboswitch (RFN element)
Rfam family: FMN riboswitch aptamer (RFN element)
About the family: The RFN element is a highly conserved domain that is found frequently in the 5'-untranslated regions of prokaryotic mRNAs that encode for flavin mononucleotide (FMN) biosynthesis and transport proteins.
Source: RNAcentral